This 423-nucleotide ribosomal RNA is filed under the name uncultured bacterium. RNAcentral describes it as "bacterial SSU rRNA". It matches the Rfam family "Bacterial small subunit ribosomal RNA", at positions 207 to 622 of the family's 1533-position model. The record is from RNAcentral.
AAGACCUUGCACUUUUGGAGCGGCCGAUGUCUGAUUAGCUAGUUGGUGGGGUAAUGGCCUACCAAAGCUUCGAUCAGUAGCUGGUCUGAGAGGACGGCCAGCCACACUGGGACUGAGACACGGCCCAGACUCCUACGGGAGGCAGCAGUGGGGAAUUUUGGACAAUGGGGGCAACCCUGAUCCAGCCAUGCCGCGUGAGUGAAGAAGGCCUUCGGGUUGUAAAGCUCUUUCAGCCGGAACGAAACGGUUACGGUUAAUACCCGUGACUACUGACGGUACCGGAAGAAGAAGCACCGGCUAACUACGUGCCAGCAGCCGCGGUAAUACGUAGGGUGCGAGCGUUAAUCGGAAUUACUGGGCGUAAAGCGUGCGCAGGUGGUUUUGUAAGUCAGAUGUGAAAGCCCCGGGCUCAACCUGAGAACU